CUCGAUCGAUCGAUCUCUUCUCCGAUUUAUUCUUCGAUUCUUGCUUCGUCUCCAAUAGCAAUGGAGAUAUAGAGCGACAGUGGGAGGGGAAGAGAGAGAAAGAGAGGGAGGGGAAGGAGCGGCUCGGGUUCGGAUUGAGAACGAGGACAUGGAGGCUUUCCGUUUCUCCGGCCCGCUUCUCCGAGCCUCGAGUCGAGGCUUUCGUCGUCAACGCUUCCCUUCGGUGCUUAGUUGGAGGCGGGACUUCCUCCGUGGGCGUCAUUUGCCGUCGGAUCCCGAGAGAUCUGUUAGUUUUCGAACAUGUUUGUCGGUUUGCGUGAUGGCAAUUAACGUGUUGACGAGAAGCGGUGGACCCGUCCGCUUGUAACUGCAGAUGUUUGAAGUUGUUUGUAUCAUUCUGAGCGCAAUGAUACUUUUUCCUCCAAGUUUAGCCUUUGAUCUCAUUGAUGUAUCUUCGUUGGUUACCCUCGGAAACAGUAAGGAAAUUGAACCUAUGACUUGAAAACACAUAAAAUUUUUAUGCAUUAUGUUACGAUGGUUA
Non-coding RNA from Elaeis guineensis (African oil palm), 541 nucleotides. The record is from RefSeq and is a predicted model, not a curated record. NCBI's taxonomy places the organism in Eukaryota, Viridiplantae, Streptophyta, Magnoliopsida, Arecales, Arecaceae.